UAUCUUCGACUUCAUUGUUUUAGUUUAAUUCAAGUUGUCCGACAAGUUGAGGUUGUCAGUUACACGGCUUGAGGUUGUCGACGAAGGUUUUCCAGUCGCGCUCUAAUCUCAUCUUCAUUGUUAAUCGUUUGAGGUCCAUUUCUCGCUUCCUCUCUUGGAUUUUAAUUUUUCUAUUUUUUGUGUGACUAUCUGAUUUAUUUCAACAUGUGUAUGAUUUCUCUUAAUAUUUGUUUGUUUGAGCUUGAUUGAAUGAAUGUUUAAAAAGUGUUUUGCUAUCUUUGUACUCAACUUGGGAUAUUCUCGUGUUAGUGUUCGAAGUAUAUGAGCAUAUGUUUAAAAAUAGAAAAUUAAGAACAGAAAAUCGAUUGUGGUAUAGAACUGAAGUGAAAAUCGUUUGAGUUUUGGAUAAAUUUUUUUAUUCCUUUAAUUUAUUUUAUUUCAUUUCAUUAAUUUGAUCGGCAUGAGCAGGCCGUCAAUUCUUGGGUAAGCAAUCUUAGGAUUUUUCAUUUACUUUUGGUUUCAAGGUGAGAGGUUGUCACUUAGAUAAACUCACCCGGAGAAUGCCCCGUGGACUUUGUAAAUAUUUCAACUCGGGGAAUGCUCCGAAGUACGUAUAAAUGGAGUCGUGAAAUCAUCAAUGGAGGCAUAGUAUAAGCUAGGAAGACUUACUUUAUUUUGUUUUAUUUUUCUUUUAUUAGGAAGGGACGACAUCGGACCUUUUGGGUGUUUAUUUUACUUUGUGUGUUUUACCUUAAUUCAAAUAUUCUAAAAUCUGAUUAGAUCAAGUAUGCAACCGUACUAGUUACGGGACUUGGGGAGUUCCUAACACCUUCUACCCGAGUCAAAUGAACCUCCUUACCCGAAUCUCUGGUGCAGACUUAAUUUUAGAGUCUCAAGUGUUUUGAAAGGAAAACUUUUUUUUGUUUUUAGAAAAAUAAAGGGUGACCCUGGCACACCGAAACAAAUGUCAGGUGGCGACUCUGAGUAUUUCCUUUUGAACACAAAUUUUGUCACUUUCUAAUUGAAAACCCUUUUGAGCUUUAUUAAAUCUUCAUAUUUAUUUAAGAUGGUUUAGUGAAAGUUUGGUAAAAAAAGGGAUGUGACACAUUCCAUAUCAUGGAUUAGGACACCGCAUAUAACGCCAUCGUGGGGCGACCAUGGAUAAAACCCAUAAGAGUUGUCCCCUCCACUUUAUACCAAGUGAUCAAAUUCUCUAACACCUUUGGAAUAUUCAGCAUACAGGGAGAAUAAUAUACAUCUCGGUAAUGCUACAGAAUCGCCAUGGCAACACGAUAACUCAACAGAAGAAGGAAAAAGAAGAUAAGGCAUAGAAAUCAACAAGGCUGAGGUCACCACAAGGUGAAGCCAAGGAAACCAUUAUGGAUCCAUAGACGGUGAAAGUCUCUGAAUCAACCAUGGAGGACCUCGACCUCGUUUAACUAGAUCAUAACGACCUCCGCAAAAAGGCCUACAUCGGUUGUAAACUCCUAAAACCAGGUAAAUUUAGUCAAUUCUUAAUAUCUAAUGCAGAUUUAUUUGCCUUUAGUCCCGCAGACAUGCCAGGUAACACCAAAGAAAUCUCUACAAACAAGCUGAAUGUUGACCCCUUCUACCCCCGAUAAGGCAUAUCCGACAAAAGUCCAUCCUCGCUAUCAAUGAGGCCAUGAACGAAGAAGUGGAGAAGUUAUUGGCAAACUGAUUCAUCGGAGAGGCGAAGUACCCCAAAUCGAUAGCCAAUGUGUUGAUGCCCAAAAACAAAAAUGGGAAAUGGAGGAUGCGUAGACUUCAAAGACCUAAACAAAGCAUGCUCAAAUGAUUCAUUCACACUACCACCCAUCAACCAACUCAUCGACCCAACAGCCGGGCACGAGUUAAGUUUUAUGGAUGCCUAUUUAAGUUACAACCAAUUACUCAUGGAGGAAGAGUACCAAGAGAAAACUACGUUCAUCACCCACAUGGGAACAUAUUAUUAUAGUGUCAUACCAUUGCUAAAGAACGCAUGGACCACCUAUCAAAUGUUAGUCACAAAGAUGUUCAAAGAUCAACCCAACAAAACCAUGAAAGUAUAUAUCAACAACAUGAUGGUGUCCAUGAAGGCAGAGGAUCAUAUCGACCACCUAAUGGAAGCUUUUGAUAUACUAAGAAUAUUCGGAAUAAAAUUAAACCCUUAGGAAUGCGCAUUUGGCAUAGCCUCAGGAAAGUUUUUAGGUUUCUUAGUAUCAUAACAAGGGUUGAGGUCAACCCACAUUAAAUCGAGGCUAUCGAUGGGAUACCAUAACAAUUUACCACUAAAAAUCAAGUCCAUAGACUGAUGGAUCGAAUCGUCACCUUAUCCAUAUUCAUCUCGCGGGCGUCCGAUAGAUAUCAUAGGUUUUUAGCGUACUCAAAAGGAUAACGACCUCGAAUGGAUGCCCGAGUAUGUAUAAGUAAUGCAAUAACUAAAGGUGUACUUGUCAUCACCACCCUACUCUCAAAACCUGAAAAUGGGGAGUGUUUCCUCGUCUACCUCGCCAUCUCAGAAGUAGCAGUAAGUGCAGGUCGAAAACUCACCUUUUUUAUAUCAGUAAAACAUUUUUUGAUGCUAAAAUGCGGUACCCUCACCUUGAGAAACUAGCCUUGGACCUGGUCAUGAUUUCACGAAAGCUUAGACCCUAUUUCCAGUGCCACCCUAUCUCAAUCAUCACCGCUUUUCAUUUAAGAAGCAUAUUACACAAACUUGAGUUGUCGGGGAGGCUGGCCAAAUGGUCCAUGGAGUUAAGCAAGCACAACAUCAAUUAUCAACCUGGCACAAUGAUAAAGUCGUAAGUACUCGCAGAUUUCGUCGCAGACUUUAGUACAAAAUUAAUGUCGAAGGCUGAAAAGGAAGCCACCUAGGCUUCUCUUCAGACACAAGACCUUUGGGUCCUGCACACUAACGGCACAUCCAAUGCAUGCAGGGCUGGGGACUCGUACUUGAGGUUCCUGAUCACGUCCAGCUAUGCCUUCUAAACGACAAAGCGGUCAUUGCAAAUAUAAUCCGGUUUUAAGUCAGUAGUCGAUCCUCAGAGAACUAACCCAUCUAUUAUAACUCUUUAGAAAUGCUAUUAUCAACUAAACCAAUUUCUAGAUGAAAGAUUUUUAUCAAUCAAUCUUGUAUUUUAUUUAACUACGUCAAAUAAAAUUAGAAAUAACAAUAUGCUAUAUUAAAGGUAAUUCAAUAGUAAAAGGUCUAGGACAGUGAUUUUCCCAAUUGCUAGUUUAGGUCUUGACUCUUUCGCUAUAAUCUCGCCACAAUACUCAAUGAGGAUUAAGAGCUAUGGGUUAUCGUAAUUAUCUCUCAAUCAACUAUAAUAAUUUACUAGAGCAUUCUUUCGAACUACUGUAGCUGACAAUAUGUGCAACGUUAUCCCACCAAAAUUUCGCUAUCCCUAAACCCACUUUUAAGUUCAAGUAAUGAAUCUCUUCAAUUACUCAAAAGUGGUGUUGUUCAACAUCAGUCUAACCUAAUAUUCUUUCUCAAGCAAUAUGAGGGAAUUAGACACGAUUAAUCAAGGGUCCAUUUGAACAAUCAUAAAACAAAUCCAGCCCGAUUAUAACAAGUUGAGUCAAAACUUCAACCAACAAUUGAUUCCAUCAACCCUAGAUAAUUGUUUAGCGACUCAUAACAAAAUAAGAUAAAACUAUAAAGUUAUUCAUAAUGUAUAAUUGCAAGAAUUAAAAUGAGAUAGAAAAACUCUAAUAUUUGGUUGAUCUUCUCACACUUGUUCUUGCCUCCAAAAUACUCUCAAAACAAGCUUCAUUCUGUCUUGGGUGAGCUUCUAAAGUUUAUAAAGGUUUGGAACAAGUUUUCUUGAAUUACACUUUGGUCCCUAAUUUUCAGGCAAAUGAAUAGCUCACCGCGGUCCCUGCAAGACCAUGCCACGACCGCGGUGAAGGCUGAACAUUUUUCCUCGCGUAAUUAUCUGCCGCAGUUCAACCGCGAUUCCCACCGCUGUCGCGGUGGAUUUCACUUCAGUCCAUUUUUUGCUUCUUUAUGGUUGGGUGCUUCUUGAUUGGGCGUUUUCUUCACAUUAUUGACUCCAAAACACUCCGUAGUGCUUCCUCACUUAGAUUAUUUCUGGUAAAGCAAAAGAACACUAAUUAGAGCAUUUUGUUGUCAAUUCGCCUAUAAAACAACAAUAAAGCAUGGUAAUAUUAAGGUAUAAAUAUCAUCUAUAUAGCCUAAUAUCAACACUCCACACUUAAAUCAUUGCUAGUACUCUAGCAAUCCACCACACGCUAUCAAAGUCCCUUCCCUAAGCUUUUCCCUUAACGAAUCAUACCUUAAACAAUUUACCAAAGUUGCACCUAGUGGUGAACAACCUUUUCCUCAGAAGUCGAAUCUCUCGUACCAUGCAAUAUUCGCACUUACUCAAACUACUCUAUAUAGAAGUCAAAACUUACAUUUGCUUUGUGAAUCACAUGUUCUCACAUCACAAAAGAGAGUAAUUCUACAAUUAAUAUGAUUAAAAACACUUAGGAAGUCAUAUGGACAAAAUUCGCUCACUCUCUAAAAGAACAUUCACAUGCCACAAAGAUGCACCAUAUGCUUGCCCGUAGUGUAAUACUUUACUAAUCAAGCAUGUCUAGUCUAAGAUCAAUUAGGACUUCAUUUUGUUGUAAUAUAGGCUAAGGGAUGGGUAGGAUAUAUUUGGAUAAGUGACUAACCCAUUAAGCACUUUUAAUACGAAACACACUAACAGUCAAUAUCAUGCUUACGUCAACCAGACAUUUUCCACAAUUUAUUUAUACAUCUCAUUCCUUUUGGUGCAUUUGCAUCAAGCUAUCACUUAUCAACUACCACAUUUAUUCACAUUUUUUUUCAUUUUUAGGUAGUGUAGUAACUCCCCCUUGAUUUUCUUUGGGUCACGGUUCUUUUCUAGGGGUUUAGCUUGAACCAAGUGUAGGUAGUUUUUGGUUAUUUUGUUUUUAGUUUUAGUUAGCAUUGAUGGGCUACGAGCUGCAAUAGAAAGAGAAUCUCUUGGCAUCAGUACACCUGAACACAAUCGACAACUAGAGUGCAACGCCUCUCAAUCGUUGAAUCUUGCUAAAGUUCCUUAAAGUUGUAUGUUUAUGGCUGAGUUGAACACUCAGAAGCGAAUGUCUUGAUAAAUCAAUCCGGAGUGAAUCAUAUGCCAUAUGACUGUGAGUUAUUCUGUAUUCUAUGCUUUACAUUUGAUGUCUAAAACAUGCCCUUUGUGAUUACAACAUGAAAUAGUAGCUCCGUUCAGUCUUAGAAAUUAUAUAGGCAUUUAUUCGUUAAGCCAGAUAUAUAACGUAAAUCCACCUGAAUGUAAUACAUCGUAGUUAACCCCAUUGAGCCUAUAAGCCUAUUUCUUUUGCAACCACAUAGCUAACCUUACCCAAUUGUUUGAAUAGCUUUCUAUUUGAACCCUUUUACCUCUAAUGAGCACUUGAAUGGCCUUGACAUAUGCAAAAGGUAAAGUGUAGGGUGGUGGGUUGGUUUUGAGUGGAGCCAAGGAAGUAGAUGAAAGGUGCAGUUUUUAAGAAUAAAAGAAGAAGCACCACAAAAAAAUUGUGAUAAAUAUAGUAGUUGAUAAGUGGUAGCUUGAUGCAAAUGCACCUAAAGGAAUGAGAUGUAUAAAUAAAUUGUGAGAAAUGUCCGGCUGACAUAAUAAUGAUAUGGAAUAAUAAAUGUGUUUUGUAUUAAAAGUGCUUAGGGGAGUUAGUCAUUAUAUCCAAAUAUAUCAUACUCAUCCCUUAGCCUACAUUACAACCAAAUGAAGUCCUAAUUGAUCUUAGACUGGAUAGGCUUGAUUCGUAGAGUAUUAAAAUACGGGCAAGCAUAUGGUGCAUCUUCGUGGCAUGUGAAUAUUCUUUUGGAGAGUGAGAGAAUUUUGUCCAUCUGAGUUCUUAUGUAUUUUUAAUCAUAUUAAUUGUUGAACUACUCUCUUGUGUGAUGUGAGGGCAUGUGAUUCACAAAGGAAAGGUAAGUCUUGACUUCUGCAUAGAGUAGUUUGAGUAAGUGUUAAUAUUGCAUGGUACGAGAGAUUCGACUUCCGAGGCAAAGGUUGUUCACUACUAGGUACAACUUUUGUAAAUUUUUCAAGGUGUGAUUCGUUAAGGGAAAAGCUUAGGGAAGGAACUUUGAUAGCAUAUCGUGGAUUUCUAGAGCUAGCAAUGAUUUAAGUGUAGGGUUUUGAUAUUAAGCUAUAUAGAUGAUAUUUUCACCUUAAUAGUACCAUGAUUUAUUGUUAUUUUUAUUGGCGAAUUGAUAACAAAAUACUCUAAUUAGUGUUUUUUGCUUUGCAGGGAAUAAUAUAAGUGAGAAAGCAUUACCGAGUAUUUUGGAGUCAAUAAUUUGAAGAAAACGCCCAAUUAAGAAGCACCCUAGCAUAAAGAAGAAAAAAAUAGACUGAAAUGAAAUCCACGACGAUCACGGUGGAACCGCGGCAUACAAUUCGCGAGGCAGAAUGUUCAGCCUUCAUCCGCGGUCACCACAACCAUGUCACAUUAGCCCUUAUAACUCCAUUGAGGCAAUUCCAC
Molecule: long non-coding RNA, 6525 nt
Filed under: Nicotiana benthamiana
Lineage: Eukaryota; Viridiplantae; Streptophyta; Magnoliopsida; Solanales; Solanaceae
Description: long non-coding RNA (NBEN_LNC036067)
Source: RNAcentral